Molecule: long non-coding RNA, 1927 nt
Organism: Peromyscus eremicus (cactus mouse)
Lineage: Eukaryota; Metazoa; Chordata; Mammalia; Rodentia; Cricetidae
Exons: 2
Source: RefSeq, a predicted model, not a curated record
AGAAGGAAUAACCAGGGCACAGUUGCAAUCAACUCAAAGCAAAACUAAUGCCCAACAGUAUUAAACUCACUGUCAGACUUCAGAAGAUCUUGGACCUCAGGAUCAUCUAGGCUCAAAAGGGCUUACCACAGCACACAUAGCAUAUCACAUAGGUUAGGCUGGCUCCACACCAUUGCUACCGCUUUUCUUGGUCAUACAUAGUAUAGGUAUUUCCGUAAUGCUGGGGUCUCUACAAAUAGGCUACACCUUCACCAAUAACUCUCCUGAGCUUUCUUCAGGGACUCUAACCUUGCCAUAUGGUGCCAAGCCUCUUUGAAGGUAAUUUACGUUGUGUCUUAAAUUAAUAAUCUGUGGUUCUGGUUAACUGGAGUUGAAGAAUUAAAAGUCUAUAACCACCAAAGUAGAACCCUUUACAUUGCUGGACCAAUCAAAAUCUUCUAAAAACAGUUCUCUUGGGUUCAGCACACAGAAACUGCAUCCAGAGAGAGCCAAGGCUGUAUCUCAUAUUGGCAGCUGAACUUGUAAUUCCAGAGUCUCCCAAGUGGUAUUGGUUUUGAAGUCAUGAAGAGGUCAUGGAAAACACUUGAGACUUAGCACAGUGAGAGGUCAAGACAGGUUAUUGGUGAAGAUACACCAUCAGCAUCAGUGUCAAGCCUCAACUUAUCUCUGUCAUUUCAAUACUCUACCCUGGUAUUAAUUCCUGUCUUAACUGGAGUUUCUGUGCCUGUGACAACACAAGACCGAAAGCAAAUUUGUGAAGAGAAGGGUUUAUUUAACUUAAACUUCCAGGUAGCAGUCCACCACUGAAGAUAGCUAGGGCAGGAACUUAGAACAGGACAGGCAUACAGAUCAGGAGCUGAUAAAGAGGUUAUGGAAGAGCACAGCUUAUUUACUUGCUUCCCCUGGGAUGCUUAGCAUGACUUUUUAUAUGGUGUUUUGAAUGAGAAUCAGUUACAUAGGCUCAUAUGAUUAAUUAUUUGGUCCCCAGUUGGUGGAACUGUCUAGGAAGGUUUGGGAGGUAUGAUCUUAUUGGGAGAGGUUUUUUCAUUGUGGGCAUACAUUAAAAUUUCAAAAAUAUCAAGCAGUUCCCAAAACAUUCUCUGUCGCCUAUUAGUAGAUCAAGAUGUGAUUUCUCAGCUGUUCCUGCCACCAUGCCUUAGGUCUGCCAUCAUGGACUGUAACCCAGAGAAACUUUAAGCCAAAUUAAACACUUUUUUUAAAUUGCUGUGGUCACAAUCUUUUCUUCCUGUAAUAGAAAAGAACACAAAAUACAAAUACAUCUCUGCCCUCAGAAACAUCCCACUCACAAUGGGUUGAAACUUCUUUUAUCAGUCACUAAUUAAGAAAAUGCUCCAUAGAGUAAAUCUACAGAUGCAAAUCUUAUGGGUGCAUUUUGUCAAUUGAGAUCUCUUUUUACAAAUGACUCAAGCUUUUGUCAAGUUGACUAGCCAGGACAGCACUAUAUUAGUUCUUUUGCUUUUGUUCUUUAUGACAUUAGUUACCAUUUUAGAAAUUAGAAUAUACCUUUCUACCUUACUUUAUUGUCUUUGUUGAAAUACCACUUACAAAGUUCAUUCUUUAUGGUUUAAUUGAAACAUGUCUUUGUUUAAAUCCUACAAAUUAUAUUAUUCUGUUUAGUGGGCUCAUAAAAUUCAACAUUAUGUAUCCAUAGUAUAUAUUGUUUGAUAAUUUGUCUGUUCUAUGAAAAUAUGGACACCUUUGUGUUGUUCAAGGUAUUGAUAUCACUGCAUCUUCAAAAUGCUAUGAAAAUGUGGUUACUGAGGACAUCUAAACAGCUGAGAAUUGUCCCUCUUUCUCAUCUAAUUUGGUGCCUGCAGUGGUAAGAAUGUGAAUCUCUGGAAUAUUAAGUAUAAACAAAUUAUAAGCAAAUGAAAAAUUAAAGAGAUACUGAAAAUGAUGAACUUAA